UGCAGUUUGCUCCGGGGACCGCACAAUAGGUCGUCGAAAUCGGUGCUCGUUUUUGAUUGCCAAAGAAGCCUUUUCAUCAUACACGGUCGUACCAAAUGGUUUUAUCGACAAAAAUCGUACAUGGCAACGACGAAAGUCCCACGUCGUUUUCUUACUUGAGUCAGUUGGCGUAUUCAACUGGGUCAAGAAGGUACUGUGUGUGGGUGGGCUAGACCUGCAAAGUUACACCACAUUUAAUAAAGUAUUACUUGUGACCAGUUUUGGAUGAAUCGAGUGACUUGCCCAAUCCUGGCCAUAACACGGUGUCCAGACGAAAGCAUCUUUUGUGCGUAUCACAAUGUAUUUUGUGGAGGAUAUAUAAAAUUUUGUAGAGAUCUCGAUCAAGGCCUUUCAUCGUCAUUCCGGCAUUAGUUUCGCGCAAUCAAAUUGUUGCCUUCCCGCGGAGCAAAACGCCACUGACGUUAAACCGUCGAGAAGACGUGACGGACCAAAGAUUCGCUUGUCGACGACCUGUGGAGAGAAAUUUCGGUCAUUUUGAUAGCGGGCGAAAAUAAUUUUAUUUAAUUUUUACUUAACCAGUGCACGUGGAAUGGCUAUGUCAAAGUUAAUGACUGAUUAUAGAAAAAUAUGGAAUCCACAAUGCCUUAACUGAUCCGCACAGCAACUGAUAUCAUGGGUUUAUUUUAACUUCGACGUUGUAAAAAAUUAUGAAAUAAUAGUCUACUUACAUUCAAAACGUGUGUGAGAUAUUCUUCAGACAUACUGCUUUCCCCAG
Long non-coding RNA from Adelges cooleyi (spruce gall adelgid), 775 nucleotides. RefSeq lists it as uncharacterized. The record is from RefSeq and is a predicted model, not a curated record. The transcript is spliced from 3 exons. Lineage: Eukaryota; Metazoa; Arthropoda; Insecta; Hemiptera; Adelgidae.